Molecule: ribosomal RNA, 253 nt
Filed under: uncultured bacterium
Lineage: Bacteria
Description: partial 16S ribosomal RNA
Rfam family: Bacterial small subunit ribosomal RNA
Source: RNAcentral
UACGUAGGGUGCAAGCGUUAUCCGGAAUUAUUGGGCGUAAAGAGCUCGUAGGCGGUUUGACAAGUCUGAUGUGAAAUCUAUGGGCUCAACCCAUAGUCUGCAUCGGAAACUGUCGGACUUGAGUAUGGGAGAGGUGAGUGGAAUUUCCGGUGUAGCGGUGAAAUGCGUAGAUAUCGGAAGGAACACCUGUGGCGAAAGCGGCUCACUGGACCAUUACUGACGCUGAGGCACGAAAGCUAGGGGAGCAAACAGG